UUCUAAAUUUUCCCACAUAAAAAGGAGCAAAAACCCUAUUUAAAUGGAAGACAAAAGAAGGGAAAUUCACAAGUGAAAAGACUCUCUCACUCAUUCUUAGCAUUAAAACACAGUGGCAGGUGUCUCUUGCGAAAUACUUUGUUUCUUUUUGUGUUUCACCGACAACAUAAGGUGUCAGGUGAAAUAACUGCACCAAACGACCGACCCCCAAAACAGGCAAACUAAUUGAACAAGAAGAAGAAGAAGAAGUAGACAAAAGAAGCAGAAGCAGAGGCAAGAAAACCAAAAGGAAAUUCAUCAGAAUAUGGAAAGUUCAGCAACUGAGGAGCAGCAGAGAGAAGGACCCCGUUUCAACAGCCCCUGCACUUUCUUUGAACAAGUCAUCAAGGCUUGCCUCAACUGUUUGGGACUUCAUGAUGAUCAUAAUCAACACCCUCUUCCUCCACAGACCGAAAGAGAAAUGAAAUUUAAUGAAGAGACAAUUAUGAUGAUGGCUACAAGAUCAAGGAAUCUGACUAAACCACCUAUAAGCUCUGGUCCAGGUGGUCAGAUUAACUAUUCUUCUUCUGUUUCUUCCUCCUAAUUAACUAUUCUUCUUCUGUUUC
Non-coding RNA from Prunus avium (sweet cherry), 605 nucleotides. The record is from RefSeq and is a predicted model, not a curated record. Lineage: Eukaryota; Viridiplantae; Streptophyta; Magnoliopsida; Rosales; Rosaceae.